RNAcentral lists this ribosomal RNA (253 nucleotides) under uncultured bacterium. Its description in RNAcentral is "partial 16S ribosomal RNA". It matches the Rfam family "Bacterial small subunit ribosomal RNA", at positions 524 to 776 of the family's 1533-position model. The record is from RNAcentral.
UACGAGGGGGGCGAUCGUUGUUCGGAAUUAUUGGGCGUAAAGGGUGCGUAGGCGGUUUGGUAAGUCUGAUGUGAAAUCUAUGGGCUCAACUCAUAGUCUGCAUCGGAAACUGCCGGGCUUGAGUAUGGGAGAGGUGAGAGGAAUUCCUGGUGUAGCGGUGAAAUGCGUAGAUAUCAGGAGGAACACCUGUGGCGAAGGCAGAUCUCUGGGCCGUAACUGACGCUGAGGAGCGAAAGCAUGGGGAGCGAACAGG